Long non-coding RNA from Apodemus sylvaticus (European woodmouse), 564 nucleotides. RefSeq lists it as uncharacterized. The transcript is spliced from 2 exons. The record is from RefSeq and is a predicted model, not a curated record. Lineage: Eukaryota; Metazoa; Chordata; Mammalia; Rodentia; Muridae.
UGCUAGCGGCGGCGCUUUUGCUGUCGACUGGCGAUGCUGGAGCACCCUUGGUUUUCCUGCGUAACCGUUUCGGUUUUGAGCUGGCAGCGUUUAUCAUACUCUCGCACACAGUUAGGGAAUGUCAACGGAAUUCCAGAUCCUUCCCAACAAAACCUCUACACAAAGUUGGCAAGCUUUCCACAGCGCUGAUGGGACCCUCAGAAACCAGCAAUGCCAAGCUGAGCUGCAGAGAGAGCCCCAGAGUCUGCAGUAGCUUUGAAGAAAAAUAAAAGCUAGGCAUGAAGAUGCCCAGUGUCACCCCAGUGCUGGGGACAGGGGACAGGCAGGACCCUGGGCUCCUGCAUCAGUCAGCCUAGCCUACUCCAUGAGCUGCAGGUCAGUGAGAGACCUUGUCUCCAAGUAGGGAAAGGACACAGUAUCUGAGUUUGUACUCUGCAUGUACACAAGUGUGCCUGUGUCAAGCCAGCCAUGUGCCUAUAACCCAAGCACUCAGGAGGCCAAGGCAGGCAAGUAAGCUCUAAGCCAGCCUAAACUACAAAAGUAAACCAUGUGUUUAAAAUAAAA